UGGGGAAUAUUGGACAAUGGGGGCAACCCUGAUCCAGCAAUGCCGCGUGUGUGAAGAAGGCCUGCGGGUUGUAAAGCACUUUCAGUAGGGACGAAACACUUGGGGGCUAAUAUCCUUCAGGCUUGACUUAACCUACAGAAGAAGCACCGGCUAACUCCGUGCCAGCAGCCGCGGUAAUACGGAGGGUGCGAGCGUUAAUCGGAAUUACUGGGCGUAAAGGGUGCGCAGGCGGCCCCGCAAGUCAGGCGUGAAAUCCCCGAGCUCAACUUGGGAAUGGCGCUUGAAACUACGGGGCUGGAGUGUGGCAGAGGGAGGUGGAAUUCCACGUGUAGCGGUGAAAUGCGUAGAUAUGUGGAGGAACACCGAUGGCGAAGGCAGCCUCCUGGGCCAACACUGACGCUCAUGCACGAAAGCGUGGGGAGCAAACAGGAUUAGAUACCCUGGUAGUCCACGCCCUAAACGAUGACGACUAGUUGUUGGAGGAGUUAAAUCCUUUAGUAACGAAGCUAACGCGCGAAGUCGUCCGCCUGGGGAGUACGGUCGCAAGAUUA
This 551-nucleotide ribosomal RNA is filed under the name uncultured bacterium. RNAcentral's name for it is "bacterial SSU rRNA". It matches the Rfam family "Bacterial small subunit ribosomal RNA", at positions 355 to 896 of the family's 1533-position model. The record is from RNAcentral.